UACGUAGGGUGCAAGCGUUAAUCGGAAUUACUGGGCGUAAAGCGUGCGCAGGCGGUCGUGCAAGACAGAUGUGAAAUCCCCGGGCUCAACCUGGGAACUGCAUUUGUGACUGCACGGCUGGAGUGCGGCAGAGGGGGAUGGAAUUCCGCGUGUAGCAGUGAAAUGCGUAGAUAUGCGGAGGAACACCGAUGGCGAAGGCAAUCCCCUGGGCCUGCACUGACGCUCAUGCACGAAAGCGUGGGGAGCAAACAGG
This 253-nucleotide ribosomal RNA is filed under the name uncultured bacterium. RNAcentral describes it as "partial 16S ribosomal RNA". It matches the Rfam family "Bacterial small subunit ribosomal RNA", at positions 524 to 776 of the family's 1533-position model. The record is from RNAcentral.